Molecule: transfer RNA, 80 nt
Filed under: Novosphingobium umbonatum
Lineage: Bacteria; Pseudomonadati; Pseudomonadota; Alphaproteobacteria; Sphingomonadales; Sphingomonadaceae
Description: Novosphingobium sp. FSY-9 tRNA-OTHER
Rfam family: tRNA
About the family: Transfer RNA (tRNA) molecules are approximately 80 nucleotides in length.
Source: RNAcentral
GCCGGUGUGGCGGAACGGUAGACGCACCACUCCAGUGGUCCCUCGCAAGAGGGUGCGGGUUCAACUCCCAGCCACCGGCA